AGAACGAACGCUGGCGGCAGGCCUCAAACAUGCAAGUCUAGGGGAUGUAGCAAUACAUCACCGGCGGACGGGUGCGUAACACGUGGGAAUAUACCUUUCGGUACGGAACAACUGCGGGAAACUGCAGCUAAUACCGUAUACGUCCUUACGGAGAAAGAUUUAUCGCCGAAGGAUUAGCCCGCGUUCGAUUAGCUAGUUGGUGAGGUAAUGGCUCACCAAGGCGACGAUCGAUAGCUGUUCUGAGAGGAAGAUCAGCCACACUGGGACUGAGACACGGCCCAGACUCCUACGGGAGGCAGCAGUUGGGAAUCUUGGACAAUGGGGGAAACCCUGAUCCAGCCAUGCCGCGUGAGUGAUGAAGGCCUUCGGGUUGUAAAGCUCUUUUACCCGGGAAGAUAAUGACUGUACCGGGAGAAUAAGCUCCGGCUAACUUCGCGCCAGCAGCCGC
This 448-nucleotide ribosomal RNA is filed under the name uncultured bacterium. RNAcentral's name for it is "SSU rRNA". It matches the Rfam family "Bacterial small subunit ribosomal RNA", at positions 26 to 518 of the family's 1533-position model. The record is from RNAcentral.